This 427-nucleotide ribosomal RNA is filed under the name uncultured bacterium. RNAcentral describes it as "bacterial SSU rRNA". It matches the Rfam family "Bacterial small subunit ribosomal RNA", at positions 355 to 774 of the family's 1533-position model. The record is from RNAcentral.
UGGGGAAUUUUGGACAAUGGGCGAAAGCCUGAUCCAGCCAUGCCGCGUGAGUGAAGAAGGCCUUCGGGUUGUAAAGCUCUUUCAGCCGGAAAGAAAUCGCGCAGGAUAAUACUCUGCGUGGAUGACGGUACCGGAAGAAGAAGCACCGGCUAACUACGUGCCAGCAGCCGCGGUAAUACGUAGGGUGCGAGCGUUAAUCGGAAUUACUGGGCGUAAAGCGUGCGCAGGCGGUUAUAUAAGACAGAUGUGAAAUCCCCGGGCUCAACCUGGGACCUGCAUUUGUGACUGUAUAGCUAGAGUACGGUAGAGGGGGAUGGAAUUCCGCGUGUAGCAGUGAAAUGCGUAGAUAUGCGGAGGAACACCAGUGGCGAAGGCGGCGAUCUGGGUCGAUACUGACGCUGAGGUGCGAAAGCGUGGGGAGCAAACA